This 253-nucleotide ribosomal RNA is filed under the name uncultured bacterium. RNAcentral describes it as "partial 16S ribosomal RNA". It matches the Rfam family "Bacterial small subunit ribosomal RNA", at positions 524 to 776 of the family's 1533-position model. The record is from RNAcentral.
UACGUAGGUGGCAAGCGUUAUCCGGAUUUAUUGGGUGUAAAGGGCGUGUAGGCGGGAGCGCAAGUCAGAUGUGAAAACUCAGGGCUCAACCCUGAGCCUGCAUUUGAAACUGUGUUUCUUGAGUGCUGGAGAGGCAAUCGGAAUUCCGUGUGUAGCGGUGAAAUGCGUAGAUAUACGGAGGAACACCAGUGGCGAAGGCGGAUUGCUGGACAGUAACUGACGCUGAGGCGCGAAAGCGUGGGGAGCAAGCAGG